UUUCCCUUUAAUCUUACAGGAGCAUCUUAAAAAAGACUUGAAGGCGAUUGAGGCUCUCGAGUUGGAGGAAGCUCUGGUCCAGGAGAAGGCCGAAUGGCUGCAAGUUGCAACCCUGUCGCAAAAUUGCCAACCAGGGAAGUCAUCUUGGCAAUCCGGCAUGCUGACUUCCAGAGAUACUAAAGACUGGUUGCAGGAGGUGCUGUACAUAUAGAAGGAGAAGAAAACACUCCCAUUUCUUACCAGUUGAGAAACAGGCAUCUAAUGUAAGGAAUCACCAACUCACGGAAGCGCUGUCUACGGAAACCGCUACCAAUAUCAAUGAGGAAAAGCUGAAAGUGUCUUUGCAGUGGCAUUGGAAUACAUUUUUUAGAGAAGUAGUCUAUGUGUAAAAUUUAUGCCUUUAUUGUCUGAUUAUUUCUGUUAGUUGAAAUAGCCAAUGGCAUCCGCUGCAAGCUUUGUUGUUUCACAAUUACAGAAAAAUGAAAUUCUGUGAGGGGUUUUUAAUUCACUAACAAUAUUCUUUCUGCUGCGAUGCACAUUGUGAAAGUGUUUUAUGUUCAUUUAAGUAUGAUGUUUAUGUUUAUAUGAUGUAUAUAUGAUGUUAUUUUUUUACUUGCUGGUUUACUUUAACAGUAUCAUGAUAUCCUGAAAUUUUUACUUUUAGUAUCGGUUUGCCAACCCAAAAUUUUAAGUGUACUUUUCUGGCCACCCUGUGAAAA
Long non-coding RNA from Corythoichthys intestinalis (scribbled pipefish), 719 nucleotides. RefSeq lists it as uncharacterized. The record is from RefSeq and is a predicted model, not a curated record. The transcript has 3 exons. NCBI's taxonomy places the organism in Eukaryota, Metazoa, Chordata, Actinopteri, Syngnathiformes, Syngnathidae.